GCAGUAGCCGCGGUAAUACGGAGGGUGCAAGCGUUAAUCGGAAUUACUGGGCGUAAAGCGCACGCAGGCGGUCUGUCAAGUCGGAUGUGAAAUCCCCGGGCUCAACCUGGGAACUGCAUCCGAAACUGGCAGGCUAGAGUCUUGUAGAGGGGGGUAGAAUUCCAGGUGUAGCGGUGAAAUGCGUAGAGAUCUGGAGGAAUACCGGUGGCGAAGGCGGCCCCCUGGACAAAGACUGACGCUCAGGUGCGAAAGCGUGGGGAGCAAACAGGAUUAGAGACCCGUGUAGUCCCUGUCUCUUAUAC
RNAcentral lists this ribosomal RNA (302 nucleotides) under uncultured bacterium. RNAcentral's name for it is "partial 16S ribosomal RNA". It matches the Rfam family "Bacterial small subunit ribosomal RNA", at positions 508 to 807 of the family's 1533-position model. The record is from RNAcentral.